GCGCGCGGGCAAACGAGGUUCAGCCCGCCGAAGCUUCUGGAAGCGCCUGGAGAGCGCGCGAAGAGUUUGGGGCACGCAAGAAGCGCCUGGGCGCGCUGAACUAGCCCGUAGGCGACCUGGAGCGCCUAAGGAGGCAGGCAAAACCAGAUUCAUGCUUGGAAAUUUCCAGAAAUGCCCAGAAUUGCCCAGAACCGCCAGAAACCUUCUUGGAGCCAGAUUUUUGGCUAGAACAGUCCAGAAACUGCCCAGAAUGUGACCAGCUUCUCCAGCAAGCUUCUUGGGAUAUUUUUAUGGGAAAUGUGCCAAAAAACUUCCUAAGGCAAAAUCCCAACCCUCCAUCCAAAAUUGGUGAUCCCAAGGCACAUCUUAGCCAUCCAUUUGGAGGUGCAAUUUCAGCCACAACACUAUAAAUAGGAGGCCUUGGCAUUCAUUUGGGACAACCAACCAAACAUCCAACAAAGCAUCAACCAAGCAUCCAAGCUUCCUACAAACACUUGUGCACUUAAGCUUUGUGUAGUUGUUCUCUUAUAAAGCUUAGGCUUGUAUAGCCAUUUUUCUUGAGUUAAUAAAAUUACCUUCCCUUUGUCCAAAUUCUUCCCACUACUAUCUUUUGUUUCCUUUUGUACCUUCUCACUUAGGCAUACUUUUAUCACCCUUAUUAGUCUAUUACAUAGACUAAGUGUGUUGGAAGGCUGACUUAGUCUUAGGGGGAAGACUAAGGCCGCACGGGUUGCUAGAGUUUGGUGUUGAUAAACUCUCAGUCUGUGACAGAAUGCACUGGUACAAAUCCAAUCCACACGUUUACAAGGAGACGUUGAAAAGCCACUCAAGCCAGUGUUUGAGUUUUGUAUUGCAAGCCUGCUGCAAGCUCACGUGAGACAUUUCGAGGACAAUUAUUGCGACUUGGGACCCAACAAUAAUCUCACUGUCCAUCAACAAACGCCUCCUCAUCUUUGAUUGCCUCCAUGCUCCUCCAGAGUCCAAUCGGCCCACCCAUCGGAACAAGUCAGUCACUUCUCCUUUGUGACCUGUAGAAUCCCAUCUCACUCCGUUUCCAUUUCAAUUCCCUAUCUUUACAGGUAACCUUCCGCUAUGUUCAACUUCUGAUAGAAAGAAAGAUCUCCCUCUGUAAAGGUUUAAAAGUUUUAGUUUUUUGAAUCAUGGGGACUGAUUCGGCUUUGAAUUCCACAAAGCCUACACAAAGACCUACUCAAGAAGAAGACUCACAUAACUCAUCCAAUCCUUCUCGGAAACACACCACCACCAUCAUCUUCAUCUCUCUCCUCCUCAUCACCUGCAUUGCUAUCUCUGCUGCCUCUGCCUUCGCUUUCCUCUUCUUCUCCACUACUUCGUCUUCUUCUUCUUCUUGGCCUGCGCCUGCGCAGACAUCGUC
RNAcentral lists this unclassified non-coding RNA (1393 nucleotides) under Hevea brasiliensis (rubber tree). Lineage: Eukaryota; Viridiplantae; Streptophyta; Magnoliopsida; Malpighiales; Euphorbiaceae. The record is from RNAcentral.